AACACAAUAGGCCCACCGGAAGGCGGGCCUGGAAAAU
RNAcentral lists this ribosomal RNA (37 nucleotides) under Tripneustes ventricosus. RNAcentral's name for it is "partial 12S ribosomal RNA". The record is from RNAcentral. Lineage: Eukaryota; Metazoa; Echinodermata; Echinoidea; Temnopleuroida; Toxopneustidae.